RNAcentral lists this ribosomal RNA (283 nucleotides) under uncultured bacterium. RNAcentral's name for it is "partial 16S ribosomal RNA". It matches the Rfam family "Bacterial small subunit ribosomal RNA", at positions 123 to 406 of the family's 1533-position model. The record is from RNAcentral.
AACGUGCCCAGUCGUGGGGGAUAACGUAGAGAAAUUUACGCUAAUACCGCAUACGAUCUAAGGAUGAAAGCGGGGGACUCGUAAGAGCCUCGCGCGAUUGGAGCGGCUGAUAUCAGAUUAGGUUGUUGGUGAGGUAAAAGCUCACCAAGCCGACGAUCUGUAGCUGGUUUGAGAGAACGACCAGCCACACUGGGACUGAGACACGGCCCAGACUCCUACGGGAGGCAGCAGUGGGGAAUUUUGGACAAUGGGCGAAAGCCUGAUCCAGCAAUGCCGCGUGUGG